UGCUUUCUGUGAUGAAUCAUAAGGACGGUAUCUGUGAAAGGCUGCUCUUGAAGAAGUCCUCAUUCAUUGAUUACACAUCCUUAACUGAUCAUAUACUCUGAGCAAACA
Lolium rigidum is the source of this 108-nucleotide small nucleolar RNA. RefSeq annotates it as small nucleolar RNA Z118/Z121/Z120. The record is from RefSeq and is a predicted model, not a curated record. The transcript has a single exon. NCBI's taxonomy places the organism in Eukaryota, Viridiplantae, Streptophyta, Magnoliopsida, Poales, Poaceae.